UUCUUAUCUCCUCCUCUAACACCAUUGACAGAUGAAUUUAACAAGAGGGGCACUAUCUGCCUCGCCGAGAAUAGAAGGGCUAAACUAUCUGCGUCCCUGCUUGCAUGGUUUCAGCAGUAUUGAUGAAUAUAUCACAGUGUGUUCAGUCACAAGGAACCAAUCCUCCUCCUGUUCUUUUUCCUUUUUUUUAAUCACUGAUUCAGUUAGAGCUCUUCCCAUGGAGCUGGGUGCGAUGACCCAAGUAGAUAGAUAGCGGUAACUGGAAGGAUUCCUGCUUGAUCAGAGGAGCUUUCCUGAUCAGUGACCAUGUCUACAGUUCAGAUAGGACUGUUCAAAGGAAGAAAUACCUCCAUGGCCGAUGGCAAUGAAGUCUCCCACAAAACCUGGAGUAACACAGCUUCAAGUUACAACAUGGUGGGCAAACUUUCUGCCUCUCUUUCAAGGUGAAACAGCUAUAAAUCAAUUAUCAAACACACAAAAACAACCAAUAUUGAUCCAAUGGUUCUAGUGCCUUGCUAUAUUACAUUUUAUAUUGUUGAUUUAAUGUGCAAUGUGCCUGUUGUACCCAAGUUUAACAAAAUUCAAGG
Sebastes umbrosus (honeycomb rockfish) is the source of this 587-nucleotide long non-coding RNA. RefSeq lists it as uncharacterized. The record is from RefSeq and is a predicted model, not a curated record. The transcript has 3 exons. NCBI's taxonomy places the organism in Eukaryota, Metazoa, Chordata, Actinopteri, Perciformes, Sebastidae.